AAAAAGAUAAGCUAACCUAAGCUCUUGGGUUCAUACCCCAACCAUAAAGAUUUUACCUCUUUUCUUUUUA
RNAcentral lists this transfer RNA (70 nucleotides) under Cucujus mniszechi. Its description in RNAcentral is "tRNA-Met". Lineage: Eukaryota; Metazoa; Arthropoda; Insecta; Coleoptera; Cucujidae. The record is from RNAcentral.